GCGGGAAUUGCCAAGUCUGGUCUACGGCGCUGGACUCAGAAUCCAGUGACAAAGGUCUUCGGGGGUUCGAAUCCCUCUUCCCGCA
Molecule: transfer RNA, 85 nt
Filed under: Promethearchaeota archaeon
Lineage: Archaea; Promethearchaeati; Promethearchaeota
Description: Candidatus Lokiarchaeota archaeon (permafrost metagenome) tRNA-Leu
Rfam family: tRNA
About the family: Transfer RNA (tRNA) molecules are approximately 80 nucleotides in length. Their secondary structure includes four short double-helical elements and three loops (D, anti-codon, and T loops). Further hydrogen bonds mediate the characteristic L-shaped molecular structure. tRNAs have two regions of fundamental functional importance: the anti-codon, which is responsible for specific mRNA codon recognition, and the 3' end, to which the tRNAs corresponding amino acid is attached (by aminoacyl-tRNA synthetases). tRNAs cope with the degeneracy of the genetic code in two manners: having more than one tRNA (with a specific anti-codon) for a particular amino acid; and 'wobble' base-pairing, i.e. permitting non-standard base-pairing at the 3rd anti-codon position.
Source: RNAcentral